Molecule: long non-coding RNA, 441 nt
Organism: Vigna unguiculata (cowpea)
Lineage: Eukaryota; Viridiplantae; Streptophyta; Magnoliopsida; Fabales; Fabaceae
Source: RefSeq, a predicted model, not a curated record
UAUGAACCAUAAUAAUGCAGUGGAGGACAAUUUGAUUACCAGUUCAAGUGAAUGGACACAUAUUCAGGUUCAUGAGAUAGAAGUCGCUGAGUUGCACUUGCAGGUAAAGCAUUUGACGGUUGAGAAAACACGUUUUUCACUUUUGAUCACUCUCCAAUCAUGGAACACACAUGGAACAAAACCUCAGAAAAUUUCAAGAUUGUUCCGGGGAAGCCGCGUACUAAAGCAAUAAAUCUAUCUCUCAAAACCGAAAUCCCACGUGUAAUAAUAAUUGAAGAAGAGAAAGAAAACAAGAAAUGCAAGUGUUUUUGGACUUUUCUGUCUUUUCUGAAAGGUCAGAAAGCCUAGUAAUAUCAAUUUCUAAUUCGCUUCAAAGCGAUGAAAAUUAUAGUGUAUGAAACUAUGAAAACAGAAAUAAUAUUUAUUGUUUCGGGAGUAAAA